RNAcentral lists this ribosomal RNA (498 nucleotides) under uncultured bacterium. RNAcentral's name for it is "partial 16S ribosomal RNA". It matches the Rfam family "Bacterial small subunit ribosomal RNA", at positions 28 to 523 of the family's 1533-position model. The record is from RNAcentral.
GAUGAACGCUAGCGGCAGGCCUAAUACAUGCAAGUCGAACGAUAGUGAGAAGCUUGCUUCUCACGAAAGUGGCGCACGGGUGCGUAACGCGUAUGCAACCUACCUUAAUCAGGGGGAUAGCCCGAAGAAAUUCGGAUUAACACCGCAUAAAAUCACAGUAUAGCAUUAUACAAUGAUCAAAUAUUUAUAGGAUUAAGAUGGGCAUGCGUGACAUUAGUUAGUUGGCGGGGUAACUGCCCACCAAGACCACGAUGUCUAGGGGAUCUGAGAGGAUAACCCCCCACACUGGUACUGAGACACGGACCAGACUCCUACGGGAGGCAGCAGUAAGGAAUAUUAGGCAAUGGAGGCAACUCUGAACCAGCCAUGCCGCGUGCAGGAAGACAGCCCUCUGGGUCGUAAACUGCUUUUAUUCGGGAAUAAACCUAUCUACGUGUAGAUAGCUGAAUGUACCGAAGGAAUAAGGAUCGGCUAACUCCGUGCCAGCCGCCGCAGUAA